RNAcentral lists this transfer RNA (67 nucleotides) under Neoteredo reynei. RNAcentral's name for it is "tRNA-Asn". Lineage: Eukaryota; Metazoa; Mollusca; Bivalvia; Myida; Teredinidae. The record is from RNAcentral.
GAGGCGUUAGUUUAUUUAAAAGAACGGGCGGCUGUUAACCAUCUGGUGUGUAGCAACACACGCCUCG